GGUGGGGGAUUUUGGCAUGGCGAAAUUGGUGGAUCCAAGGCUGAGAACUCAACGAACUGGGGUGGUUGGAACUUAUGGUUACUUAGCACCUGAAUAUGUGAACGGAGGAAGAGCAAGCAGGGAAUCAGAUAUAUACAGUUUUGGAGUGGUGGCAUUGGAGAUAGCAAGUGGGAGGAGGACAUACCAAGAUGGUGAGUUUCAUGUUAGUUUGAUGAAUUGGGUGUGGCAGCUUUAUGUGGAAGGAGAACUUAUGAGAGCUGCAGAUGAGAAACUGAAAGAGGAGUUUGAUGAGAAUGAGAUGAGAAGUUUGCUUGUGGUGGGUUUGUGGUGCACAAACCCUAAUGAUAAAGAGAGGCCUAAGGCUGCAG
This 368-nucleotide long non-coding RNA is filed under the name Vigna radiata. RNAcentral describes it as "long non-coding RNA (VRAD_LNC005633)". Lineage: Eukaryota; Viridiplantae; Streptophyta; Magnoliopsida; Fabales; Fabaceae. The record is from RNAcentral.